ACAAGCAGCGGAGCGUGUGGUUUAAUUCGAUGCAACGCGAAGAACCUUACCAAGGCUUGACAUGCCAGAAGUAGGAACUCGAAAGAGAGACCACCUGUAUCCAGUCAGGAACUGGCACAGGUGCUGCAUGGCUGUCGUCAGCUCGUGCCGUGAGGUGUUAGGUUAAGUCCUGCAACGAGCGCAACCCUCGUCGCUAGUAAAUUUUUCUAGCGAUACUGCCCGUAAAACGAGGAGGAAGGUGGGGAUGACGUCAAGUCAGCAUGGCCCUUACGCCUUGGGCUACACACACGCUACAAUGGGUGAUACAACGGGUUGCGAGAGAGCGAUCUGGAGCUAAUCCCUAAAAUCAUCCUCAGUUCGGAUUGCAGGCUGAAACUGCCUGCAUGAAGUUGGAGUUGCUAGUAACCGCAGGUCAGCACACUGCGGUGAAUACGUUCUCGGGCCUU
This 446-nucleotide ribosomal RNA is filed under the name uncultured Chloroflexota bacterium. RNAcentral's name for it is "bacterial SSU rRNA". It matches the Rfam family "Bacterial small subunit ribosomal RNA", at positions 925 to 1382 of the family's 1533-position model. The record is from RNAcentral. Lineage: Bacteria; Bacillati; Chloroflexota.